UGCCAGCAGCCGCGGUAAUACGGAGGGUGCGAGCAUUAAUCGGAUUUAUUGGGCGUAAAGAGCGCGUAGGUGGGUAUGUAAGUCAGAUGUGAAAGCCUGGAGCUCAACUUCAGAAUUGCAUUUGAAACUAUUUACCUUGAGGAUAGGCGGAGAAGACGGAAUUCCACGUGUAGCGGUGAAAUGCGUAGAUAUGUGGAAGAACACCGGUGGCGAAGGCGGUCUUCUAGCUUAUUCCUGACACUGAGGCGCGAAAGCAAGGGGAGCAAACAGGAUUAGAUA
This 279-nucleotide ribosomal RNA is filed under the name uncultured bacterium. Its description in RNAcentral is "partial 16S ribosomal RNA". It matches the Rfam family "Bacterial small subunit ribosomal RNA", at positions 506 to 784 of the family's 1533-position model. The record is from RNAcentral.